UAGCUAGAUGGUGGGGUAAAGGCCUACCAUGGCGACGAUCUGUAGCUGGUCUGAGAGGAUGAUCAGCCACACCGGGACUGAGACACGGCCCGGACUCCUACGGGAGGCAGCAGUGGGGAAUAUUGGACAAUGGGGGAAACCCUGAUCCAGCCAUGCCGCGUGUGUGAAGAAGGCCUUUUGGUUGUAAAGCACUUUAAGCAGUGAAGAAGACUCCAUGGUUAAUACCCAUGGACGAUGACAUUAGCUGCAGAAUAAGCACCGGCUAACUCUGUGCCAGCAGCCGCGGUAAUACAGAGGGUGCAAGCGUUAAUCGGAAUUACUGGGCGUAAAGGGAGCGUAGGUGGCUCGAUAAGUCAGAUGUGAAAUCCCCGGGCUCAACCUGGGAACUGCAUCUGAUACUGUUGAGCUAGAGUAUGUGAGAGGAAGGUAGAAUUCCAGGUGUAGCGGUGAAAUGCGUAGAGAUCUGGAGGAAUACCGAUGGCGAAGGCAGCCUUCUGGCAUAAUACUGACACUGAGGCUCGAAAGCGUGGGUAGCAAACAGGAUUAGAUACCCUGGUAGUCCACGCCGUAAACGAUGUCUACUAGUCGUUGGGUCCCUUGAGGACUUAGUGACGCAGCUAACGCAAUAAGUAGACCGCCUGGGGAGUACGGCCGCAAGGUUAAAACUCAAAUGAAUUGACGGGGGCCCGCACAAGCGGUGGAGCAUGUGGUUUAAUU
Molecule: ribosomal RNA, 717 nt
Filed under: Psychrobacter arcticus
Lineage: Bacteria; Pseudomonadati; Pseudomonadota; Gammaproteobacteria; Moraxellales; Moraxellaceae
Description: bacterial SSU rRNA
Rfam family: Bacterial small subunit ribosomal RNA
Source: RNAcentral